AGUGAACGCUGGCGGUAGGCCUAACACAUGCAAGUCGAACGGCAGCACAGUAAGAGCUUGCUCUUACGGGUGGCGAGUGGCGGACGGGUGAGGAAUACAUCGGAAUCUACUUUUUCGUGGGGGAUAACGUAGGGAAACUUACGCUAAUACAGCAUACGACCUACGGGUGAAAGCAGUGGAUCUUCGGACCUUGCGCGAUUGAAUGAGCCGAUGUCGGAUUAGCUAGUUGGCGGGGUAAAGGCCCACCAAGGCGACGAUCCGUAGCUGGUCUGAGAGGAUGAUGACCCACACUGGAAUGGGGACACGGUCCAGACUCCUACGGGAGGAAGAGGUGGGGAAUAUUGGACAAUGGGCGCAGGCCUGCUCCAGCAAGACCGCGUGGGGAAAGAAGGCCUUGGGGUGGUAAACCCUGUUUGUAGGGAAAGAAAAGCAGCAGGUUAAUACCCCGCUGUUCUGACGGUACCCUAAGAAUAAGCACCGGCUAACUUCGUG
RNAcentral lists this ribosomal RNA (492 nucleotides) under uncultured bacterium. Its description in RNAcentral is "partial 16S ribosomal RNA". It matches the Rfam family "Bacterial small subunit ribosomal RNA", at positions 29 to 507 of the family's 1533-position model. The record is from RNAcentral.